GAUGAACGCUAGCGGCAGGCCUAAUACAUGCAAGUCGAGGGAGAUUGUUGGAUUCGUCUGACAUGAAACCGGCGCACGGGUGCGUAACACGUAUGCAACCUACCUUUAACUGGGGUAUAGCUCAGAGAAAUCUGAAUUAAUCCCCCAUAACACUACGACAUGGCAUCAUGAUGUAGUUAAAGCUCCGGCGGUUAAGGAUGGGCAUGCGGUACAUUAGCUAGUUGGUGAGGUAAUGGCUCACCAAGGCUACGAUGUAUAGGGGGUCUGAGAGGAUGAUCCCCCACACUGGUACUGAGACACGGACCAGACUCCUACGGGAGGCAGCAGUAGGGAAUAUUGGUCAAUGGACGCAAGUCUGAACCAGCCAUGCCGCGUGAAGGAUGAAGGCCCUCUGGGUCGUAAACUUCUUUUAUUAGGGAAGAAACCUCAGGAUGCGUCCUGAGCUGACGGUACUUAAUGAAUAAGGAUCGGCUAACUUCGUGCCAGCAGCCGCGGUAAGACGAAGGAUCCAAGCGUUGUCCGGAUUUACUGGGUUUAAAGGGUGCGUAGGCGGAAAAUUAAGUCAGUGGUGAAAGCCCGCAGCUCAACUGUGGAACUGCCAUUGAAACUGGUUUUCUUGAAUAUAGCUGAGGCAGAUGGAAUAUAACAUGUAGCGGUGAAAUGCUUAGAUAUGUUAUAGAACACCGAUUGCGAAGGCAGUCUGCUAAACUAUUAUUGACGCUGAGGCACGAAAGCGUGGGGAGCGAACAGGAUUAGAUACCCUGGUAGUCCACGCCCUAAACGUUGAUUACUCGCUGUUGGCGAUAUACUGUCAGUGGCUAAGCGAAAGCAUUAAGUAAUCCACCUGGGAAGUACGACCGCAGGGUUG
RNAcentral lists this ribosomal RNA (868 nucleotides) under uncultured bacterium. RNAcentral's name for it is "bacterial SSU rRNA". It matches the Rfam family "Bacterial small subunit ribosomal RNA", at positions 28 to 896 of the family's 1533-position model. The record is from RNAcentral.